This 839-nucleotide ribosomal RNA is filed under the name Cellulophaga sp. NN014850. Its description in RNAcentral is "bacterial SSU rRNA". It matches the Rfam family "Bacterial small subunit ribosomal RNA", at positions 32 to 872 of the family's 1533-position model. Lineage: Bacteria; Pseudomonadati; Bacteroidota; Flavobacteriia; Flavobacteriales; Flavobacteriaceae. RNAcentral also lists the same sequence under 1 other name. The record is from RNAcentral.
AACGCUAGCGGCAGGCCUAACACAUGCAAGUCGAGGGGUAACAGGGAGCUUGCUCCGCUGACGACCGGCGCACGGGUGCGCAACGCGUAUGCAAUCUACCUCUUACUAAGGGAUAGCCCAGAGAAAUUUGGAUUAAUAUCUUAUGUGAUAUUAGACUGGCAUCGGUUUAAUAUUAAAGGUUACGGUAAGAGAUGAGCAUGCGUCUCAUUAGUUAGUUGGUAAGGUAACGGCUUACCAAGACUUCGAUGAGUAGGGGUCCUGAGAGGGAGAUCCCCCACACUGGUACUGAGACACGGACCAGACUCCUACGGGAGGCAGCAGUGAGGAAUAUUGGACAAUGGACGGAAGUCUGAUCCAGCCAUGCCGCGUGUAGGAAGACUGCCCUAUGGGUUGUAAACUACUUUUAUACAGGAAGAAUAAGAUCUACGUGUAGAUUGAUGACGGUACUGUAAGAAUAAGGACCGGCUAACUCCGUGCCAGCAGCCGCGGUAAUACGGAGGGUCCGAGCGUUAUCCGGAAUUAUUGGGUUUAAAGGGUCCGUAGGCGGGCUGUUAAGUCAGAGGUGAAAUGCUGCGGCUCAACCGUAUGCACUGCCUUUGAUACUGGCGGUCUUGAGUUAUAGUGAAGUGGCUAGAAUAAGUAGUGUAGCGGUGAAAUGCAUAGAUAUUACUUAGAAUACCGAUUGCGAAGGCAGGUCACUAACUAUACACUGACGCUGAUGGACGAAAGCGUGGGUAGCGAACAGGAUUAGAUACCCUGGUAGUCCACGCCGUAAACGAUGGAUACUAGCUGUUCGGUUUUCGGACUGAGCGGCCAAGCGAAAGUGAUAAGUAUCCCAC